AAUAAUUAGUUGCUAAGCCCCAAUUAGCCAAAACCCUAGCAAUGAUUUUACAGAGAGAACGAGAGAGAGUGAAAACUCAGAAAGGAAGAGAGAUGGUGAGAAGCGGAGUUGGGAAGAAGAAAUGGUAUUAAGUACGGAGGAGGACCGACCGUUGAACAGCGUGGAUGGCACGCGCCUAGCAGGAUGUUUUCGGGCGGAGAAAGAAACGGUGAGCAC
Molecule: unclassified non-coding RNA, 216 nt
Filed under: Hevea brasiliensis (rubber tree)
Lineage: Eukaryota; Viridiplantae; Streptophyta; Magnoliopsida; Malpighiales; Euphorbiaceae
Source: RNAcentral